UUUUGUAAUAUCAGUCAUUGAUUAAGCUAUAGCAAAAUACAUUACAGCUCCGCCUCCACUCCCUUCAAGUCAACUGUAAAAAGUAAAUGUGUUCUAUUAGCAGUUUCAGUUUAACAUCUAUAGGUUGAAGAUAGCUCUCCAUAGCAAGGCCAAAAUAUUUCAGGAAUUUAAUUUUUUUUUUACACAUCAUGAAAUGGAAAACUUAGACUGUUUGCAGCACCAUCUGACGCCAAUGCCUAAGGCUGUCGCCCAACCUGUCACCGCCAGCGCCCGAACCAACUGUAGUAGCUAAAACCGCCAUCCCUGUUUUGACGUUUUUGCAACCCUUUGCUCUGUUUUAUCCUUAGUUUUGAUGUAAAUUGAAUGUAGCAGAUUAUAUGCGCUUUCGAAUAGUGUUAAUAUGAAUUGCAUUUCAUAAAGAUCAAAUUUGUUUAUGACGUGGUAAUGCUAAACCAAAACAUUUCUUUACACAAAAAAUACACUUCAGACCAAAAUAUUGGUAUGAAAAAAAAAUUAUUUGGUAUAGAUAUCAUAACAGACUGCUAAUAAUAACUCAGAACUUAAUUAUUUAAAAAAUAGUUUCACAACAAAUAUUUAAAGUUAUUUUGGAGAAAAAAUAUUUUUAGGCUAAUUAUUUUUGUAAAAAAUUAAAUAUAACAAGAAUUACCUUUACAAUAGGAAAUAGGAUUGUGAAUACUUACAUAGUAUUAAAAUGGGAGCAAUUUACUCACUACCAUAAAUCUAUAUUAUAGUUUUCCUUCAGUAAGGAAAAUCUGUAUCAAAAAAUUAUUGAGAUAGAUAUAUAAAAGAGGAUGUUUGUAUAUAUGAUAUUGAUAGACUCAUAAACUAUCUGACCAUUCAUUAUGAAAAUUUGUAUGUAUAUGUAUUUUUUUCACAGAGAAGGUUUAUAUGCUAUGCCGAUUGAUGUAACCUCACCCCCAGAUGGUGUUGCAAAAGAAAAAAGUUUUCACAGUGUCUACACUUUAUAAACUGCAAUCGCGAGACAAUUACACAUAUUAAAUUGCCAAACACUAUUUGAAGCCGCUAAGUUAUCAUGUAUGUUUGUCUUUAUAAUAAAUUUUUGGUUGAACUUAAAGCUUAAGAAAUAAACCACUUUAUAAUAAAGUAGAUGUACGUGUACAAUGGCUAUAAACAUACACUUUUGACAGAUUUUCUUGAUCAUGGCAAAACGGCAAACUCUACAUCAGCGUUGGAAAUAUAAUUCACUUGAACAGGUGGUAAUACACGGGCAAAUCUUAUGAAAAGAAAAGCCUCGGGAAACAGUUAGUAUCUAAUCACGUUAUUUCUAAAAUGUGUGUUUAGGAAGACACAAGUGGACACUUUUAUUCGGACGUUGGUUUCCAAAAGGUUAACCUAAAAUGUCUGGGUUUGAAUUGUCUUUGACAGUUAAAUAUAUGUUAUUGAUAUUCAAUAACAUUUUCUUUUUUAAUUUUUUUGACUAAACAUAUUUUUGUAUAUUAAAAUUAAUUAAAUGUGGAAGAAUAAAAAAUGUCUUAUGCAUUAAAAUAUUUGUGUAAACUUUAAAUUUUAUAUUCUAUAAUUGCUUCACAUAAAUAAUUCUCUUUUUAUUUUACUGGUGUUGUUAAAUAUCACAAUAUUUGUGUUUUAGAGAUUGUGGGUGAUAAAUUAGUCAUAUUAGAGUCUCUGCCUCCCAAAUGGAAGCAAUGUCGGCGAGAACUAGGUCACUCUGUUCCUAUCUAUUAUUUGUUACUGCCUAUACAUACGUACUUAUUAUAAAUAUAAAAAGUUAAAGUCGACAUAUAAGUGCACAUGCUAACUGAAUACAAUAGGUAAAAAAAUUAAAUUUGAAAUUUCAAAAAUAUUGUUGGUCAUUAACGCGUAAAUGUAAAAAUCUUUAUUAUAACUUGUAAAUAACAUAAAAAAUUGGUCUCUUUUAGAUAUGUAACGGUGCUACAGUUAUACUAAGACAUUGUCUCAUCAGUGGUUAAGAGAUUCAGAUUAAAAAUAAACACCCUAGUAGACUCCACCACAGCCUUGUUGAUCUAAUAAUAAUUUUUUCACCUAUUCAAAGGCCUGCCUUGAUGAACCCCUAACAGAACUCAACAAUCUAGAUCUAGGUAUUGAGACAGAGCUUGCCAUAAUGUUUAUCUCAAUAUGUAGCACGUAGCAUCUCACAGCAUGCAUUCUAUACUGCAAGUACUUCUUCAUCGCCCGCAUGUGAUUUGAUAACAAAUAGUUUGUUGCCUCUGUUACAGAGUCUCUCUUUAAUGCCAAAAAACUGCUUUUGUAUCACAGCCUGACCUGCAUCAGAUAAAACUGCGGUUCUGCAACAACUUCAAGCCAUGUGAAGCAUCCUGGUACUGGACAAAGUAAUGUUGCCUUUCAGUACCAGGUAUGCUUCAAGUGUACAUAGAGAGCUAUCAAACCCACACUUGUAACUUUAAUUUUAACACUUCAUGCAAAAAAAGCAAUAUGCUGUUGUUGUAUAGGUUUUGUAACAGAUAAUAGCUAAAACGUCACCUCUGUCAUGUCUUUGGAAUUUCAAAAUAAAGUUCAACAGCUACACAACCAGAGUUUGAUGACUGAAUAAGUGAUUACUGCAAAACUUAGCAGGUCUUUAUUUCAAAUUUCCUAUCAGAAUGUUUGGUGAAGAAUAUUGAGAUGAAGAUUGGACUGCAGCUUUCAAAAUUCAAAGUCAACAGGCCGUUGUUAUAUUCCUCUUCAACAAGUGGUUUGAUGGACUGCAGAUCUUCUAGAUCCGUUCCCAGAAUCUUCUGCAGGUCUCAUUCCACAGUACCAUGUCAGAAUAUCUAGGAUUACGUACAUUGUCUGGGCAACAAAUUGUAUGCUGAAUUUGACCUUUUUUGUGGCAAUUCAUCUUUCCUGAAGCAGCUAUUAAAAUAAUUCUUAAAUUGG
Molecule: long non-coding RNA, 2898 nt
Filed under: Homalodisca vitripennis (glassy-winged sharpshooter)
Lineage: Eukaryota; Metazoa; Arthropoda; Insecta; Hemiptera; Cicadellidae
Description: uncharacterized LOC124355141
Source: RNAcentral